UGAUCUGGAUUUUUAAGCGGUUAAGUAAAUAUCAUGGGGCAGGCACUGGGGGGCACAAUAUCCCAAAUAGCCGUAUUUGCAUCACAACCCUUGGAUGAGGUGAUUGCCCAACGUCGCCCAUCAUCAUCCCGGCAGGUUAAGUCCAGGAUGCCAUCCCCGUCACAGUCUGCACUCUGCAGGACUGCGGUGUCGUGGAUGCACCACCCGGAUGGCCUGGUGCAUGAAGCUGCGGCAAAAAAAACAGCAACGAUAAUAAUUGAUCAAUGCCAGAAGCAGAUCGGGCAGGUGGCCUAGCUAGGAAAGGCCACAUGAAGGGUGGAGGCCAGACCAGCUGGAAAUGAAAGGCCAGGCAGUGUAACUACGAUUUCUAGACGCAUUGAGCAGGUCGGUGCCACAAAGAGACUCAGGGCUUGCUUGCCAGCAGCCGUAGGAUAACCGUACAUGCAUGCAUGCAUGCAUGCAUGCAUGCAUGCCACCAAUACAUUCGGUGAUUGAGCAUUGCUAUGCGCUUGCAUGCAUGUUUUGUGCGAUUGGGCAUAUGUAUACAGUUGCCAAAUAUGAUGCCUGAGGGGCUUCAGGUAAGGUGUACACACUGCUGCAAUUCACUGCUCCGAAGCAAGUGGGGUUGAACAAUAAUAUGCUAUGAUAAUUCCGAGGGGCAAUGCCGGUUCGAGGGAAUUCCCUCGAACCAUCUCAAUUUCAUCGCAACGGCUGGGUUAUUACUACGUACCUGGAUCUGUGGGUGGCGAGAAUAUCUUGGGGCAGGCACUGGGGGGCACAAUAUCCCAAAUAGCCGCAUUUGCAUCACAGCCCGUGGAUGAGGUGAUCGCCCAACGUCGCCCAUCAUCAUCCCGGCAGGUAACAUCCAGGGCGCCAUCCCCGUCACAGUCUGCACUCUGCAGGACUGAGCUGUUGUGGAUGCACCACCCGGAUGGCCUGGUGCAUGAAGCUGGAACUGCGGCAAAAGCCAGCAACGAUAAUAAUCGAUCGGUGUCAGAAGCAACAGAAACAUUUCUAGAUGCAUGGAGCAGCAGGUCAGUGCCAUAAGGAAACGCAGCUCGCCUGCCAGGGUUUUAAAACCCCUAGGGUGCCUGCCAGUAGGGAAACCGUACAUGUGUCCAUGCCACCGAUACAAUCGCGGAUUUAGCAUAAUUAUGCGCUCGCGUGAAUGUGUUGUGUGACUGGCUGGGCAUAUGUACAUGCUCAUACAGUUGCUAAAUGCGAUGCCUGAGGGGCACUGCAAUUACUCCCGCCCUUGCUUGCUUACAGGAUCUCGUAGGUUGAAGCAUGAUAUGCUACAUACGAUGAUUCCCCUGAACCAUCUCAGAUUAUUCAUCACAUACAACUGCUGGGUUAUUUCUACGUACCUGGAUCUGUGGGCGGGGGGAAUAUCAUGGGGCAGGCACUGGGGGGCACAAUAUCCCAAAUAGCCGUAUUUGCAUCACAACCCUUGGAUGAGGUGAUUGCCCAACGUCGCCCAUCAUCAUCCCGGCAGGUUAAGUCCAGGAUGCCAUCCCCGUCACAGUCUGCACUCUGCAGGACUGCGGUGUCGUGGAUGCACCACCCGGAUGGCCUGGUGCAUGAAGCUGCGGCAAAAAAAAACAGCAACGAUAAUAAUUGAUCAAUGCCAGAAGCAGAUAGGGCAGGUGGCCUAGCUAGGAAAGGCCACAUGAAGGGUGGAGGCCAGACCAGCUGGAAAUGAAAGGCCAGGCAGUGUAACUACGAUUUCUGGACGCAUCGAGCAGGUCGGUGCCACAAAGAGACUCAGGGCUUGCUUGCCAGCAGCCGUAGGAUAACCGUACAUGCAUGCAUGCAUGCAUGCCACCAAUACAUUCGGUGAUUGAGCAUAGCUAUGCGCUUGCAUGCAUGUUUUGUGCGAUUGGGCAUAUGUAUACAGUUGCCAAAUGUGAUGCCUGGGGGGCUUCAGGUAAGGUGCACACACUGCUGCAAUUCACUGCUCCGAAGCAAGUGGGGUUGAACAAUGAUAUGCUAUGAUAAUUCCGAGGGGCAAUGCCGGUUCGAGGGAAUUCCCUCGAACCAUCUCAAUUUCAUCGCAACGGCUGGGUUAUUACUACGUACCUGGAUCUGUGGGUGGCGAGAAUAUCUUGGGGCAGGCACUGGGGGGCACAAUAUCCCAAAUAGCCGCAUUUGCAUCACAGCCCGUGGAUGAGGUGAUCGCCCAACGUCGCCCAUCAUCAUCCCGGCAGGUAACAUCCAGGGCGCCAUCCCCGUCACAGUCUGCACUCUGCAGGACUGAGCUGUUGUGGAUGCACCACCCGGAUGGCCUGGUGCAUGAAGCUGGAACUGCGGCAAAAGCCAGCAACGAUAAUAAUCGAUCGGUGUCAGAAGCAACAGAAACAUUUCUAGAUGCAUGGAGCAGCAGGUCGGUGCCAUAAGGAAACGCAGCUCGCCUGCCAGGGUUUUAAAACCCCUAGGGCGCCUGCCAGUAGGACAAGUUGGGUGUCGGCUUCAAGGAAGCCGGAAAAAGGGCGGGGCCCCUCUGCAUCCGUACAGGCCGGUAGCAAAGGUGGCAAGUGUGACAAUUGAUGGGUAGUGUCAACGCGGUGGGAGAUGUGCUUUGUUGCAGCAGUGCUGAUGGUGUGAGAGCUAAGCUUGCACCGGCGAAAUCGUCAGCACCGCCUGAGGGCUCCACGCGAAUCGCAUCCAUUCCGGGUGCAUGCCGCAUGGACAGUGCGGCAGACCGCAAGUCGGAAUGCCCGUGCGGGCAAAUGGUAACGAAAGCUGGGUGAAUUUCGGUGCUGUCUGUGAUGUUUAUCCCCGAAGCGCCAGCGGCCUCAGCAAUCCGCCCCACAGCCGCGGGCUUCAUCGGGGCACACCGCAAGUCUCAGGAGGCCCCGUGCAUUGGCCAAAGUAAAUGUACAAACAAGCAGCUUGUGUAUUUCAUAGAGAAAUGAAAGUAAAUUAUGUUGGCCUGCUGGUGGCAAGUCGGAUUGCCCAUGCCGGCAAAUGGUAACACAAGCUGGGUGUUCGAGUUAUCAUACGCUGUCAUCUCGGAAAUCAAUUAUGAGAUACACGGCACCUUUUGAGAUGAAAUAUAGCCCGAGAGGUGUUGAUGUGACUUUUGAGGUCGGUGAAUGGAGGCAGCUAAACUUGUUUGUGCUCAUACGGUCUUUGUUAGCUACAUGCGAGAUACCUUGCAAUAGAGAAUGCUGUAUAGUACCGAUAACGCGUUUCAGCCGGGCGAGAUAUUAUGUUUGGUCCGUUACAGACACACACACACACACACACACACACACACACACACACACACACACACACGGACAUGGGCAAUCCUACAGGUCGGGGCCCCCCUGGGCGCUUCGCGCUGGGGCCCCGCCCAAAAACCGUACAUGUGUCUAUGCCACCGAUACAAUCGCGGAUUUAGCAUAAUUAUGCGCUCGCGUGAAUGUGUUGUGUGACUGGCUGGGCAUAUGUACAUGCUCAUACAGUUGCUAAAUGCGAUGCCUGAGGGGCACUGCAAUUACUCCCGCCCUUGCUUGCUUACAGGAUCUCGUAGGUUGAAGCAUGAUAUGCUACAUACGAUGAUUCCCCUGAACCAUCUCAGAUUAUUCAUCACAUACAACUGCUGGGUUAUUUCUACGUACCUGGAUCUGUGGGCGGGGGGAAUAUCAUGGGGCAGGCACUGGGGGGCACAAUAUCCCAAAUAGCCGUAUUUGCAUCACAACCCUUGGAUGAGGUGAUUGCCCAACGUCGCCCAUCAUCAUCCCGGCAGGUUAAGUCCAGGAUGCCAUCCCCGUCACAGUCUGCACUCUGCAGGACUGCGGUGUCAUGGAUGCACCACCCGGAUGGCCUGGUGCAUGAAGCUGCGGCAAAAAAAACAGCAACGAUAAUAAUUGAUCAAUGCCAGAAGCAGAUAGGGCAGGUGGCCUAGCUAGGAAAGGCCACAUGAAGGGUGGAGGCCAGACCAGCUGGAAAUGAAAGGCCAGGCAGUGUAACUACGAUUUCUAGACGCAUUGAGCAGGUCGGUGCCACAAAGAGACUCAGGGCUUGCUUGCCAGCAGCCGUAGGAUAACCGUACAUGCAUGCAUGCAUGCAUGCAUGCAUGCCACCAAUACAUUCGGUGAUUGAGCAUAGCUAUGCGCUUGCAUGCAUGUUUUGUGCGAUUGGGCAUAUGUAUACAGUUGCCAAAUGUGAUGCCUGGGGGGCUUCAGGUAAGGUGCACACACUGCUGCAAUUCACUGCUCCGAAGCAAGUGGGGUUGAACAAUGAUAUGCUAUGAUAAUUCCGAGGGGCAAUGCCGGUUCGAGGGAAUUCCCUCGAAUCAUCUCAAUUUCAUCGCAACGGCUGGGUUAUUACUACGUACCUGGAUCUGUGGGUGGCGAGAAUAUCUUGGGGCAGGCACUGGGGGGCACAAUAUCCCAAAUAGCCGCAUUUGCAUCACAGCCCGUGGAUGAGGUGAUCGCCCAACGUCGCCCAUCAUCAUCCCGGCAGGUAACAUCCAGGGCGCCAUCCCCGUCACAGUCUGCACUCUGCAGGACUGAGCUGUUGUGGAUGCACCACCCGGAUGGCCUGGUGCAUGAAGCUGGAACUGCGGCAAAAGCCAGCAACGAUAAUAAUCGAUCGGUGUCAGAAGCAACAGAAACAUUUCUAGAUGAAUGGAGCAGCAGGUCGGUGCCAUAAGGAAACGCAGCUCGCCUGCCAGGGUUUUAAAACCCCUAGGGCGCCUGCCAGUAGGAAAACCGUACAUGUGUCCAUGCCACCGAUACAAUCGCUGAUUUAGCAUAAUUAUGCGCUCGCGUGAAUGUGUUGUGUGACUGGCUGGGCAUAUGUACAUGCUCAUACAGUUGCUAAAUGCGAUGCCUGAGGGGCACUGCAAUUACUCCCGCCCUUGCUUGCUUACAGGAUCUCGUAGGUUGAAGCAUGAUAUGCUACAUACGAUGAUUCCCCUGAACCAUCUCAGAUUAUUCAUCACAUACAACUGCUGGGUUAUUUCUACGUACCUGGAUCUGUGGGGGGGGGGAAUAUCAUGGGGCAGGCACUGGGGGGCACAAUAUCCCAAAUAGCCGUAUUUGCAUCACAACCCUUGGAUGAGGUGAUUGCCCAACGUCGCCCAUCAUCAUCCCGGCAGGUUAAGUCCAGGAUGCCAUCCCCGUCACAGUCUGCACUCUGCAGGACUGCGGUGUCGUGGAUGCACCACCCGGAUGGCCUGGUGCAUGAAGCUGCGGCAAAAAAAACAGCAACGAUAAUAAUUGAUCAAUGCCAGAAGCAGAUCGGGCAGGUGGCCUAGCUAGGAAAGGCCACAUGAAGGGUGGAGGCCAGACCAGCUGGAAAUGAAAGGCCAGGCAGUGUAACUACGAUUUCUAGAUGCAUCGAGCAGGUCGGUGCCACAAAGAGACUCAGGGCUUGCUUGCCAGCAGCCGUAGGAUAACCGUACAUGCAUGCAUGCAUGCAUGCAUGCCACCAAUACAUUCGGUGAUUGAGCAUAGCUAUGCGCUUGCAUGAAUGUUUUGUGCGAUUGGGCAUAUGUAUACAGUUGCCAAAUGUGAUGCCUGAGGGGCUUCAGGUAAGUUGCACACACUGCUGCAAUUCACUGCUCCGAAGCAAGUGGGGUUGAACAAUGAUAUGCUAUGAUAAUUCCGAGGGGCAAUGCCGGUUCGAGGGAAUUCCCUCGAACC
RNAcentral lists this long non-coding RNA (5636 nucleotides) under Volvox carteri. RNAcentral describes it as "long non-coding RNA (VCAR_LNC002069)". The record is from RNAcentral. Lineage: Eukaryota; Viridiplantae; Chlorophyta; Chlorophyceae; Chlamydomonadales; Volvocaceae.